RNAcentral lists this transfer RNA (84 nucleotides) under bacterium. Its description in RNAcentral is "tRNA-Leu". It matches the Rfam family "tRNA". From Rfam's summary of the family: Transfer RNA (tRNA) molecules are approximately 80 nucleotides in length. The record is from RNAcentral. RNAcentral also lists the same sequence under 1 other name.
GCCUGAGUGGUGGAACUGGUAGACGCGCUGCGUUCAGGGCGCAGUGGGGUUUUCCCCGUGGGGGUUCGACUCCCCCCUCAGGCA